RNAcentral lists this ribosomal RNA (253 nucleotides) under uncultured bacterium. Its description in RNAcentral is "partial 16S ribosomal RNA". It matches the Rfam family "Bacterial small subunit ribosomal RNA", at positions 524 to 776 of the family's 1533-position model. The record is from RNAcentral.
UACAGAGGUCUCAAGCGUUGUUCGGAAUUACUGGGCGUAAAGCGUGCGCAGGCGGUUUGCUAAGACAGGUGUGAAAUCCCCGGGCUUAACCUGGGAACUGCGCUUGUUACUGGCAAGCUGGAGUGUGGCAGAGGGGGGUGGAAUUCCACGUGUAGCAGUGAAAUGCGUAGAGAUGUGGAGGAACACCGAUGGCGAAGGCAGCCCCCUGGGCUAACACUGACGCUCAUGCACGAAAGCGUGGGGAGCAAACAGG